GGGGAAAAGAAACCAACCGGGAUUGCCUUAGUAACGGCGAGUGAAGCGGCAAAAGCUCAAAUUUGAAAUCUGGUACCUUCGGUGCCCGAGUUGUAAUUUGGAGAGGGCAACUUUGGGGCCGUUCCUUGUCUAUGUUCCUUGGAACAGGACGUCAUAGAGGGUGAGAAUCCCGUGUGGCGAGGAGUGCGGUUCUUUGUAAAGUGCCUUCGAAGAGUCGAGUUGUUUGGGAAUGCAGCUCUAAGUGGGUGGUAAAUUCCAUCUAAAGCUAAAUAUUGGCGAGAGACCGAUAGCGAACAAGUACAGUGAUGGAAAGAUGAAAAGAACUUUGAAAAGAGAGUGAAAAAGUACGUGAAAUUGUUGAAAGGGAAGGGCAUUUGAUCAGACAUGGUGUUUUGUGCCCUCUGCUCCUUGUGGGUAGGGGAAUCUCGCAUUUCACUGGGCCAGCAUCAGUUUUGGUGGCAGGAUAAAUCCAUAGGAAUGUAGCUUGCCUCGGUAAGUAUUAUAGCCUGUGGGAAUACUGCCAGCUGGGACUGAGGACUGCGACGUAAGUCAAGGAUGCUGGCAUAAUGGUUAUAUGCCGCCC
Molecule: ribosomal RNA, 583 nt
Filed under: Saccharomyces cerevisiae (brewer's yeast)
Lineage: Eukaryota; Fungi; Ascomycota; Saccharomycetes; Saccharomycetales; Saccharomycetaceae
Description: partial large subunit ribosomal RNA
Rfam family: Eukaryotic large subunit ribosomal RNA
Source: RNAcentral